RNAcentral lists this ribosomal RNA (403 nucleotides) under uncultured microorganism. RNAcentral's name for it is "bacterial SSU rRNA". It matches the Rfam family "Bacterial small subunit ribosomal RNA", at positions 9 to 407 of the family's 1533-position model. The record is from RNAcentral.
GAGUUUGAUCGUGGCUCAGAUUGAACGCUGGCGGCAUGCCUUACACGUGCAAGUCGAACGGCAGCAUGAUCUAGCUUGCUAGAUUGAUGGCGAGUGGCGAACGGGUGAGUAAUACAUCGGAACGUGCCCUGUAGUGGGGGAUAACUAGUCGAAAGAUUAGCUAAUACCGCAUACGACCUGAGGGUGAAAGUGGGGGACCGCAAGGCCUCAUGCUAUAGGAGCGGCCGAUGUCUGAUUAGCUAGUUGGUGGGGUAAAGGCCCACCAAGGCGACGAUCAGUAGCUGGUCUGAGAGGACGAUCAGCCACACUGGGACUGAGACACGGCCCAGACGUCCUACGGGAGGCAGCAGUGGGGAAUUUUGGACAAUGGGCGAAAGCCUGAUCCAGCAAUGCCGCGUGUGUG